Molecule: ribosomal RNA, 483 nt
Filed under: uncultured bacterium
Lineage: Bacteria
Description: partial 16S ribosomal RNA
Rfam family: Bacterial small subunit ribosomal RNA
Source: RNAcentral
GACGAACGCUGGCGGCGUGCUUAACACAUGCAAGUCGAACGAUGAAGCCGGAGCUUGCUCCGGUGGAUUAGUGGCGAACGGGUGAGUAACACGUGAGCAAUCUGCCCUUGACUCUGGGAUAACUGCGGGAAACUGUAGCUAAUACCGGAUACGACACCUUGGGGCAUCCCAGGGUGUGGAAAGAAUUUCGGUCAAGGAUGAGCUCGCGGCCUAUCAGCUAGUUGGUGAGGUAAUGGCUCACCAAGGCGACGACGGGUAGCCGGCCUGAGAGGGGGACCGGCCAACCUGGAACUGAGACACGGGCCAGGCGCCGACGGGAGGCAGCAGUGGGGAAUAUUGCACAAUGGGCGAAAGCCUGAUGCAGCAACGCCGCGUGAGGGAUGAAGGCCUUCGGGUUGUAAACCUCUUUUAGCAGGGAAGAAGCGAAAGUGACGGUACCUGCAGAAAAAGCACCGGCUAACUACGUGCCAGCCGCCGCCGUAA